Meleagris gallopavo (turkey) is the source of this 4469-nucleotide long non-coding RNA. The record is from Ensembl. NCBI's taxonomy places the organism in Eukaryota, Metazoa, Chordata, Aves, Galliformes, Phasianidae.
UUCUGUAUUCUAUUGGAAAUAAAUAUGGUACUUAUCCAUACUACCUUCUAUCUCCUACCACUCUGCUAUUCUGCAAUGGCAGGUAGCUACUAAACCACUUGGGAAUUCCGCUCUCUUUAAUUUGUCUUAUGACUGCAGGCAGGUCAGACUUUCUUUCCACCACUUUAUUUGCUAUAACUUACUGUAAAAAUUGAUACGCUGUAUACACAAAGGAGUCAGAUAGUUUCAGCUUCAAUUUGUAUCCUGGAACCUACCUGGAAUUUUAUCCUCUGCCAUGUUGGUUGCUGUGCUAAUCCUUGUUACACAGAAACUACAGAUAAGCCUUAGAGGUACCUUGCUUUUACGUAGCUUUUAUGCCUAGCAGCCUGUAUUCACACAGCUGCAGUGAAUUGCGUGCAAGCUCCAGGAAGGAUCGAGAUGCAGGAGCACUGUGCACUUCAGCUCAGCACUGAGGUGUAUCCCACUUCAAUCAAUUUAAAUUCCAUAAAUCAGAGAUUAUGGUUGCUAGGAGCUCAGUGAUACAGUUACAAUUAUAAACCUUUAAAAAUCCUAAAUCUAGCUUUCUGUUACAAAGUAUGGGUAAAUGCGGGUACCCAAAGAAUAAUGUUAAAGAAGCUAGAAGAAACAAAGCUGAUUCUUGCUGAAAUAGCCAGCAAAGACAACUGCAGCCAAAGAAAAGCACCCAUCUGCCCAGGACUGCCAGUCAAGCGGCCUUUCCCAGAAGCAAGUACUUCAAUCAGCCCAGCCUUUUUCCUCACAAUCAUUGCAAGGUAGGCCCAAGGCCACGCUCUUCUCUUUUUUCCACUUGUGGAGUUCUAUUUUGAGAAAAUUGUUACAUCAUCCUUGGCGCAAACAGCUCCUAUCCCAGCUGCACCUGUCACAGGGCUCCAGAGUCAAACUCCUGUCUUACCACAAUUCCCAGUCUAAUGACACACGAAUACGGGUCUGUGCCUUCCUGCCGCAUGAAAGAUGCACGCAGUGCUGCCGCCUCCUGGUCCCACAGCAAGAGCAGCUGGAUAGAAGUCAGCUUCAGCUUAAUUCGAACAUUUCAAAAUGGCACAGUGGAUUUUUUAGAGACCUUUAAUGAAUUUAUGAUACAUACGUUUUAUAUAUAUAUAAUUUUCUAAUCAAUCGUAGGUGCAUUUCAUGGAAUAAAAUGAAAAAAAAAUCUGACAAAUUGAAUGGUUAUUUGAAACAGAAUAGACGGUUUUAUCAAAUGUGUGUGCAUACUUAAAUCUCUCAUAAAGUUAUAUACUGUAUGGGUAAGGGAGACUUAUUCUAGCCAUAUAUGACACAUAUUUAAAAUACAUGUGACAUAAUUCAUAGGCAGUAUUUAAUAUGUAGACUAAUAGCUAGUAUUAAAACAGACUAAUGAAUGCUUGUGAUGUUCUUACAGAAUAUGUUGUUUAACAGCUGCCUCUAUGAUAUUAAGAAGUAGUAUUUAGUAACGAUUCCUCUAUUUUAAAAAAAUGACCUUCCUAAAUUUUGUUUGUAAAAAAGCUGGUAUACACAGACAUAGCAUUUUACUCACUAUUAUUCUAUUUAAUAUCUAUUAGUAUAUAAAGUGUUCUGCCACGUGCAUCUUCCUUACAGUCAAAUAUAAAUGCCGAGGGAUAUCAACUGAUGUCAAUAAUCCUCAAUUGCACACAAAUCAUGACUACUGAUUAGUAAAGCAAUUAUCAUAUUAAAAGAGUUCAACAGGGCUCAACAUACUGUAAAAUUAGAAAUCAGUCAAUAGCACGGCCAUUACAUAGAACAGCAUUGAUUGGAUGUACUGAAUGCUAGCCUUGAUGACAAUUGAUCAGAAUGAACCCUUCUCACAAAGGAGUCCAGUACACUAAUUGAGAAGCCAUCAUUAAAUAGAAUAGAUAAUCAAGAAGGAGAAGGGGGGGAGGAGAAAUGGAUACAAAGCUAAGGUCCUGUAGAGAAACAAUAAAAAGAAAAGAGCCAAGAAGGUCUCUGCCCCUAUACUAGUUCCUGAGAGUACUUUUCCAAAUGCAGAUGAUCUUAAGAAACCCCCACAGGUCAUCUCUGUAAUCUGUUUCAAAGCUAGAGAACAUGUUUGAAAGCACACAAACAAAUGGGUUUUUCACCACAAGCAUUUCCAAAAGCAAAUCAUCCUUAGAGUAUAAAACUUCUGUCUGUGAUGAAUCUGUGACCUAACUUCACUGGUCUACUUGAAAUCAGGCCUCAAACCACACAGCCCUGGAAAGCUGCACAGGCUGCCCUGCUGUUUUCACUGCUGCUCCAAGAAAUGGGUGGUAAAAACAAGACCAUGACAUAUUCUGUAUUACAAUGCCUUCAGCAUUACACUGAAUUUCUAAGUACAAAUGAAACAAACCUCACUGCAUUAUAAUGAAACGUUAAGAAGGAUGUGCAGAAAAGAGUCUUUAGUGACAACUAGAUGGCACUAUUCACAUUACUUUUAAUGCACAUUUCUUAUUAUACAUACUGGGAGUCCCUCAAAACAGAUGCAAAAGGGACUUGAUCAGGUAGUUAGGAAAGAAAGAGGAUCAGCAGGUCAGCUGAAGUCAGAGAGAAGAGCACUGCAGAUGUUCCUAAAGAUAACAGCUGUAGAAAAAACAUUUGGACAACAGAGGAUUAAGAAUUAUGUAGUUACAGCAGUCAGUCUUCACAUGCAAAUGCAUUAAAGGAUUAUGAGUGGUUUUACCAAACUCUGACUUAAUUCUCAGAGUCCAAAAGGUCAUGAAGUUGCUUAUCACUAUGUCUUCUAACCAUUUGUAACAUUUCUCUUGAUAUAAGUAAGAUUUCUCAUGUCUGAGCUAGGCACGGUCUUAAUAAGCAGCAGGCAAUUAGGCAUCCCUUACCCAGUGUUGCCAAACAAAUUAUAGAAAACAAAGUCACACUCAAAAUUUCUGGUCCCUUCUGAUCUUUGAUAACAUGCAUAAAUGUUCUUGGAGGGACAUGGAAUUUAGAGAAGCUGUCUAAAAAACUGGUAAAUUAGGGCAAUGACAGUCAAUUACAUGCAAGCUCACUGGAAAGUUAAUAAGCUUCAAGUUACUUUACACUAUUAGCAGAGCAGCACAAUAUACUUUAAACAUAAAAAGUGAUUAUAUCCAAAUAACCUCUUCUUACUCCAGAGGUUAAAACCCAGAUAACAGAUAACCCAUUACAUAUAAUGUAAAGACGGUUUAUGCUUUCAUCGCAAGUUCUACUUUCCCCCAAGGAAGACUUAGGCAAUAGUAACACGAGCAUCUUAAAAGUUGUUUUCAAGUGACUUCUUUUCAAGCUCCAGUGUUGGAAGCAUACCUGAGGAAGGACAUUUUUUGAGUGCUUGCUCCACUGGGAAAAAAAAAUUACAUAAGAAAUAAGUUGCAGUUUUCCAACUUCCCACUCACAAGUUAUCAUGAGAACAUGAUCUUUUUACUGCCAUCACAUCCUCCUACUGGAGGAGGAGGACAUGCUUGGCUAUGAUCUUUUUGGAAAACAACCAACUCCUCCAUAACGCUAGCACUCUGAGUGCAGUAAACAAUCACAGUAUAAAGUGUCUGCCAAAGGCCACUGCUGACAACUGCAAGUGAAAUACAAAACAUGCAUAGAAUAUCAAGGGAAAGGAGAGGGGGAGACGGAGGGUAGGUUAAAAAGCAACUAUAAAAACAAGAAACAUUUCUUCUAAGCAAGGUAAGAAAGUCUCCAUAUGAAGUCAGGCUGGAAUUCACACCUCAGCUAUCACUGAGAAGUUGUUGGGUUCAAUGCUUGCUUUGAAUGUCACUGUCUGCAUAAAAAAGUACCUCUUUGACAAACUGUUUAGCUUUUUCUUGCCGAGAUAGCCAAAAGAUGGCAGAGAAAACAGACACACACACACACACGCCCACUCCUUCCACAGCUGAACAAGUGAUGUGUAAUACUUGCAGAUUCAGACAUCCAAGACGAAUUAUAACUGUAACAAGGAUGACAGAUCCAACAGCUCUUCUCUUAGUGAGCUGGAAAGCAUUGCAUGACAGGUAGAGAGGGACAUCAUCUCCUAUUGUCUUCUAAAAACAGAACCCAAAUGAGAAAAUUUAUAUUUCAACAAUUCUGAUCUCACCAUCUCUUUCCCUCUCUGUCCUUUCUUUUUGCCCAUUCUGUCUCCCCUUCCAAUUCUGAGCAAGAUGAAGUGACAUAGUAAAGUAGAAGCCAUAGGCCCAAUACUUAUUUUAGCCCUUCACAUAGAACUACAAUCUCUGUUAGUGCCUUAAAGACAUCUGCCACACAGAAAAAGUAUUUUCAAUUUUAAACUCUGGCACACCGAAGAGAUUUAAGAAGUAUCAUUUAAGAUGUAAGAAGUAAUAAUUACAACAGAACAUAAUGGAAGCCAUGACAUAGAUUUUCUUUAAUUUGUACAAUGCAUACAGACAGACACAGGAUGGGAUAUAGGAAAAUCAGAAGACAAAAUAUAAAUUUUAAAAUAUAUUUUUCCACACCACUGUCCUUGGCUUUCACCAACUGAUCCUCAUGUCACGCAAGCA